ACUCCAUUUUCUUCCCUAGAAAAGAAAUGUAAGCAACAACCCAACCAAGAAGCCCGCCCUAUGCCAUCUCCGCCCAGCCCCAGCCGCCUGCCUAUCGCUCUUCUAAGCCCGCUUGACAAUAACCGUUCAUCACAAAGAAGAAAACAAAGUAUGGAGAAGCAGAAACCAAUCUACGGCCGCAAAUUGACGUCAGACUUUGAAAAAUGGACUGCGAGGUGGUGGUGCGCUGAGCUCCUUCUGCUUCCCAGGGCAGGCGUGCGGCUGGGCGCCUCCUGUCACGACCCCUCUCAGCCCCAGUUCAGCCGGGAGGCGACUACAGUCCAGGGAGCAGAUCUGACUUUCACAGAGACCUAAUUGAGGAAAGGCCUUACCAGAAAGGUAUGGAGAUUUCGGUGCCAGUGCCUCCUUGAGGGCAACCCCCUUUGUGAGAAGGGUCUUCCGACGAACCCCUGAGAGCGACAUCACAGGAUCCAGACGUGUAUCAUGAGGUGGGCCCCCCGAUCUGUCUGCCAAGACCUUCAUCUGAACCGGACUCACGGCCUGCAGCUGCCGCAGGGAGCAAGUGGCUUUUGAACCCCAGCCAGAGCUGUGGCUGUGCCAGAGCAGAGACUCCUAGAAGGACACUCAAGUGUGCGUGGAGGGAGGGGAGGGGUCACUGAGAAGACGGGCAUUGCAGAGGCAUCCCGGGGCAGGGCUAUGGUGCGUCAAGGCCGCGUGGGAAGUGUCAGUGAAGGUGAGUCUGGGUUCGCAGUAGCCCGGGAGCUGCUUCCUGGUUUUCCCUUGGGCAGCCCAGUUCUUGUCUCAGCAUCUCGACCCUUCUCUGUCUGUGCACCUGCUCUGUUCUCUCUCUGUUCACUCAGCUCAUGCUGCUUACCCCCCAUUUCCACUCAUCUAUAGUUUUGAUUUAUUUGAGCCAAUGGCCUCCCCAGUCCUGUCUUUGCACAAACUUUCUGCUCUAUUAUCCAUUACCACCAAUGGCAGUUUUCCUCUGAGUAUCUUUGCUUAAACCCCAGAAGGAACCUGAUCUUCUUUAUCCCCCAGACCACAGGUCACUAGCCACUCUACGAUCUGUUUCUCUCAGGUCCCAUGCUUGCCCAUCAGCUGAGGCUGGGAAGGGCUCAUGGGCUACUGAGGCGAUGAGGGUUUGGGGUGGGGCAGGUUGUUUACAAUGGGCUGUAGAUGGUUAGGAAGUGAUCAGCAAUCCUAGGACAUGCAGGUAAGUCACACUGUCUCAACAACAAACUCCAGGUUUUUAUGCAGAUUAUUAUGUGGAUUAAUGAGCCAGUUAGUGGAAGUGCGCAGGUAGAUCUGACCCCUCCUCUCCGUCCCCACGGCUGCUUUCUUAGUUCAGGCCUUCAGCAUCUCUCACUGGACUAACCCAAAAGUCUUCCACCUGGACCCUUGGCCUCCCAUUUUGCCCCUCCCUCCAUUGGAUCAAAUCUAUCGUGUGCAGAAUCACCAUAGUGAGCUUUCUAAACUAUCAAUUUGAAGAGCUACAAGAUCAAGUGCUGGUGAGGAUGUGAUGAAACAGGCAUCUUAUAUUUUACUGACAGCGCAUGAUGUUGUUGCAGGUUUAGGGGAAAGUAAGCUAGCAAUAUCUUUUGAAAUUAAAAAUACCGUAACCUUUGAUUCCUUGUUCUGGCUUUCGGCAAUCUACCCUGUGGACAUAAAAGCACCCAUAUUCAGUACUACACGGGAAAGGCUAUUGUAGCAUUAUUUUAGGUGUGAACAUAAUUGUAAAUAACCCGAAUAUCCAACAGUAAAUGGUUGAAUAAAUUCUACUACUGCCAUACACUGGAAAAUUAUACACAUAUUUUUAAAAAAUGAGUUAAAUGGCAUACCUAUUGACUAGGAGGAAUAUCACCAUAUAAGAGAAGCCAUUUGCUUAGUAAACAGCAUGAUGUAUUUUUUAAAAAAGUACGAACAGUGGCAAAUAAAUGCGUGUACAUGCUCACAUUUGUUUGAUAAACAUGGAAACAGGUGUGGAAAAAUUAUCGGGGGUGGGGCACGGUUUCUCAGUCUUAAUAAGCAUCAGAAUCUCCUGAAGGGCUUGUAGGAGAUUGCCUUUCUUUCUUUCUUUCUUUCUUUCUUUCUUUUUCAAUAUUUUUGAUAUAAAAUUGACAAAGAAUAUUAUAUGCAUGGCAGGUGUACGACGUAAUGACUGAUACAUAUAUAUUGCAAAAUGAUCACUGUAGUAAGUCUAGUUAACUUCCAUCACCAUGAUAGUUACAAACUUUCUUGUGAUUAGGAGUUUAAGGUCUGCUCUCCUAGCGACUUCCAAAUACGCAGUAGAGUGUUAGGAACUCCACUCGGCUUGCAUUUCUGACAGGCUCCCAGGUGAUGCUAAUGUCGUUGUUUCGUGGACCACACUUGAGAACCACUGGUGUACAGGAGUAAGGGGAAUGGGGUGGGAGAAAUUCGGGCAGUUUCCUUUCUGUUAUUUAUGCGCUUUCAUUGAUUUUAGGACACUUACAUGACUGUUAGCGAUUUUGAAGAGGAAAGAAAGGCCCUAGAAAAGGGAAGGGUGGCUGCUCAGCCCAAGCCCCUCCCCUCCCCCACACCUUUAGUGGCUCCCUGGGGCGCACAGGAUGAAGUCCCGACUCAGCGUGGCCGCAGGGCCCCUCGGAGUGGGAUCCCUGCCUUUACUCCUUUGUGCCCAGUUGGCCUCCAGUGCUUGGCCAGGCUACCCGCAGCCUCCCGAAUGUGCCCGCUGCGCCUCGCAGCCUGGCCUUGCUUCUGCAGCGCCUUGCUGCGCUCCUCAGAGGCAGGGGAUGGCUGGCUAGUCUUUGGAUUCCCAGCAUGAAGUGCAAUUCUGUGCAGGUGGAGCAGGCGCUAUUUUAUCUCAAAUGUGGGGCAGAGUGGACAGGUGUGGGCUGAGCAUCUGUGCCUCUCCUCGAAGCUCUUCAGCCGCUCCUCAGUCUUCCUGAACUCAGCCCGUCUAAGUGGGUAAGAGUUCAGGGAGGAUGGGGGGCGCAGGGAGGCCCCGUGGGUGAUUUCGCAGGGGCUGCGCCAUCACGCUAGUUUCCCUCUGGAGCAGGGGUGCCUGUGGACGUGGGUAUGUGGGCAUGCAUGUGCUCGUCUACGUGGCAAAGCCUCACAUUGGUGUGGGGCUCUCCAGUUUACAAAGUGUUUCAUGCCCAUCAUCCCACGAAGUCCCCAUGAAACCCUGUGACUUACGCAGAGUAUUACCAUUUCCAUGUUUCUGCUGAAGAUAAGCCUAGAGUUUGAGCGACUCACCCAGGAUGGCGCCUUGAGGAUGCCCAUCGAGACGCAGAAUAGUGGUGCUGCCUGGUUCUGUUUCUGGGUGCUGAGGAUGGGUAGGCAGCGUCCAGGGACCUAGUUCAGGUCCUCCUUCCUGGGACCCAUCAGCCCCGGGAGGGCGCUGCCGCGGCGUCCUGACACCCGAUCCAUCAGCCUGUCCCUCGACAAACAGGCAUCGACCUCUGUGACACGGUACGUGUAUAUCUGUCUUUGACCCUGGUUCCUGACGGAGCUUCUAAUCUCUGCAGAAUGUCCUGGGUGGCAGAUGUGUCUUUUGUGUGCUGGUGAGGUGACUGGUAGCAGGGCACCCAGGCCGGAUGGGGACUGGUCAUCAGAUGGGGACCAAAAAGGCACAAUUAAAGGGUCAGAUUUCAGCCCCGCCCCCGCCUCCCGGGAGAGAAGAGGAGCCGUUGAUUGACUUAAUGAUUGACAUACCUGGGCAAUGAGGCCUCCACCAACAGAGUUUCCAAGUCAGUACCAUGAGCCAGGAGCGGGGUGCACCCCAGUCCCUGGAGGCGGAAGCUCCUGUACUUGGGGCCCUGCAGACCAGCCCUGGGUCCUGUUCAGGUGGCUGUUACCUACAGCGUUGCCAUGUCCUCUACAGGAAACGGUAAGUGUAACUAAGUGUUCCUUUGAGCUUUGUGAGCCGGAAUGGCAGAUGGCCAGACCUGCGGAGGGGGUCACGGGGGCCCCUGACUUGCAGCCAGUCAAGUGGCAGCCCAGGGCCUACGGCCGGCAUCCGAGGUGGGGGGCAGACUGUGGGACUGAACCCCUCACCUGUGGGGGCCGCGCUGAUCCCGGGUACCUAGUGUCAGAAUCGAGGUGAAGUAGGGGACAUAUCACUUAGUUCUGUCUGCGAGAGCUGUGCAGGGCGGCCGGUUCUGUUACUUUGCUACCAGCUCUGGGAAUAGGAAGGGAAUCUUGCCGAGGCUGCCAGCCUACAGCAAUAAGCUGCGUCCUCCAAGCCCCUCUGCACAGACCAGCGCCCCCCUCCCUGUAGUCAGGAAGCCUUUCUUCCUCUCUGGGAAGGCCGGGCAUAAUCCAUCCGGGAAGCCAAGGGUGGAAGCUGUCUGCCUGUAACUUCUGCUUCAGCAAAUGGCUGGUUACCUUCUUGAAGAGGAAGAGAAAAUUGCUUCCAGAAUAAAACUCAAAUUAACAUCUCAAUAAAUCAUCCUGACGUGUCUCUCCUCCCCAGGGGGAUGCGAAGGAGUGUUUAUGUUGCCGGAUGGGAGGGGCAGGCCCUGGAGCAGGGCGGACAGUUUUAACCAAAGGAGGAGUUUUAAUAAAAGGUGGAGCAUUACCUGUGUUUUCUCCUCCUGGCUUCCUGAGACACCAGCUGAGCAGGCCUCCCUAAAGGGGAAAUGGGCUGGUGCUCCUUCUCCAGAGAGCUUGGCUGAGGUUUAACGAGGCAGUGUUUGUUCAUAGAAUCUGAAAUUCGGAAGGGGCCCAAAAAGAAAGGGUGAAAAAUAAUAAAAUUGCUGAAAACACCUGCUGAGGCAGAGCAUGCCCUGCCCACCUGCCUGUCCUGGGACGUGGGAGCCGGGACCUUGCUGCAGGGGAGCGAGUCCUGCAAGACCUUUUGGCCGUGUCGUUCCUCUGUGCCUGUGUGCUGCCUGUGCACUUGGUCUGUGCUGGGUGCCCAGGGACCAGAGGGAGUAGCUGUGUACCCACCCACCUCGAGCGCACCAUGCCAACAAAUGAGGCACACAAUGCCAUUCCCCGACAAUGCCAACAAAUGAGGCACACAAUGCCAUUCCCCGACGGCCCCUUGCUCAGAUCACAUCUCCAUUAAUACCCUCCUGCAGUUCAUUGUGAUUGGCAUCGCUACAAUAAACAGUAAAUGAGUGAAUAAUAAUUGGCCAUCUAUUUGAAAGUGUUACAGAGGUUGCCAUGGCAAUCACACCUGUUAUUAAGCUUUAUUAAGCGGCAGCUGCGGGGAGGGAGGUGGAGGAGCUGGGCCUCCGGGCACCCUGCAGAGGGUCUGGCCUGCUCAGUGACCUUUCCCAGGAGCUCUUGAGACACGGGGGCCAGGU
This is a non-coding RNA of Manis javanica (Malayan pangolin), 5294 nucleotides long. The record is from RefSeq and is a predicted model, not a curated record. Lineage: Eukaryota; Metazoa; Chordata; Mammalia; Pholidota; Manidae.